Cryptomeria japonica (Japanese cedar) is the source of this 1986-nucleotide RNA transcript. It is a transcript of the gene named subtilisin-like serine-protease S, with no coding region annotated. The transcript has 11 exons. Lineage: Eukaryota; Viridiplantae; Streptophyta; Pinopsida; Cupressales; Cupressaceae. The record is from RefSeq and is a predicted model, not a curated record.
UAGGGAUUUUUGAAGAAAAUGGAAUGGAACAACAUCUUCCUGCACCACAUAAUCAAGAGUUGCCUUGAAAUUUUGCACAAAGAUUGUGGCGUUCCUAUUGGGGAUAGGGUUGCAUUUGUAGGCUAAAAGAUUGGUCGAUCAUCUGUCUCUGCUCAUCUCUUCUCCCCCAACGGCAGCGGCUUCACGCAAGGCAUUCACGACGUUCAUCCUCAAUGGAGGGAUUGCGGGAAAGAAUGGAGGGAUUCUAUUUAACCUGUAAAAUCCGCCCAUAUUUUCCCAUCGACUAGUAGAGGCAAGAGCUACGGGGGAAGCAAGAGCACUAGGAGCAGAGACAGGGACGACAAUAGAGCAAUUGAUCCUAAAGCACCCAUUGAUUCAUAACCUCCAGAUCCAGAUGACUGGUUUAGAGUAAUGUCAUUUCAUGUAGGGGUUUUCCAGCUCCAGAUCGAGGGGUUUAAAGAUCUUGAAUAGUUUUGGAUGCCAUAGCCCAAGGCUCGAAUAAGAUACACCUCAGAAUAACUUCAAAGCUAGAAGUUGGUACUCCAUAAUGCUACUUUGCACAUUCGCAGACCAUUUAUAAUCUAGGAGGGGUAGUAGAGAGAAAGCAAAUAUAAGGAAAGCAAAUUGAACAAAUCAAGCACUUUGCAAAGAAAGGUUAUUCUACCUUGGCAAUUCUAUUAGGGAUAUUUUCUUGGUUUCUAUACAAAAUGGCAGACCAGGGAAAUAGCACAUCAUCAUCAUCUGAAUAUUAAGAUGAACGAGUAGCAAGACUUGCUCCAGGGACAGAUGAAUACUUCAAUGGAAUGGUAUAUUGCACUUGCAAUAGGUGCCAAAAUAAGAAACUAAAGAAGCAACGACUUGUUGGUAUCCAUAGAUUGAACUAUGGGGUUUAUAUAGAAGAGCCGCUUCCAGUUCACAAUAUUCCUGAAGAACCAACAGAUGUCACUGAUGAUAGCCACUCUCAAGAUGAAGAAGAAGACACAGUUAUGGAUGAAGACACUUCGUAGAUAAAUUAUCAAGAUUUCUAAGCAAUUAUCAUGAUUUAUAAGCUUCUAAAAAGUAAAAGUGGGUGAUGUCGGUGAGGCUCCUGCCCUCCCCUGUAACUUUGUGCCUAAGUCAUAUUCGGAUGAUCGGGUUGGUACACUUUGUUGAAAUGAUGAAUCAGUGAGGGCGGCUAUUCAUGCUGAGAAGCGAUGCCAAUUUUCUUGUUGCCUUCGACGAUGCCACAAACAAUGGAGUACAUAUCAUCUCUAUUUCAACAGGUCCUCUUCCUCCUCAACCAAGCUUUUUUGUUGAUAGCAUAUUGAUUUCAUCUUUCCAUGCCUUCAAAUAGGGAGUUUUUGUCUCUACAUCUACUAGAAACAGUGGAAUGCCAAACACCGCUACCAAUGUUGCUCCAUGGAUUUUCAUAGUUGCAGCCUCCUCCAUUGACAGGAGUUUCAAGUCUAAUGUACUUCUCAAAAGCAAUAUUACACUUCAGGGAGAAGCUGUAAAUCCUAUCACACAAAAUGGGUUCGCUAGCCUUGUCCUUGCAAGCAACUGUGCAGCCCCUAGUGUUUCUCAGACAAAUGCAAGGUCUUUGACAACAUAUGCUAAAGAGGGGAGAAAAUAGUCAUUGGUCAUGAAUCUGAGGAAGCCCAACAAUCAAAGUCAUCAGGUAGUGAGCAUGAAGAGGAGCUACAGGAACAUGAUGAAUUGUUUGUUACACAAAAUGAUUCCAUUGUCAUUCUUGAACCUCGACAGGAAACCGUACUUGAAUUUAAGCAAGUGGGAGACAAGAAUAAUGAUGAGGGUAUUCAAUGUGAUGAACAGUCCACAACCACAAUUAGAAUAGUGUAUCGUAGAAAGAGGACACAAAGGAAGAGGAUGGAUAGAAAAAAAUGAACAAAAGACAUAUUUGCUUCCUAUCAUUGUUCAAUUUUCAUUGCGAUUAUAAACCUAUUUGUAUCAUCAUACUUAUUUAAUGAAUACUUGUCAAUUUAUUCA